GGGGUUGUAGCUCAAUUGGUAGAGCGCCCGCUUUGCAUGCGGGAGGCACGGGGAUCGAAGCCCUGCAGCUCCA
RNAcentral lists this transfer RNA (73 nucleotides) under Entomophthora muscae. RNAcentral's name for it is "tRNA-Ala". It matches the Rfam family "tRNA". From Rfam's summary of the family: Transfer RNA (tRNA) molecules are approximately 80 nucleotides in length. Their secondary structure includes four short double-helical elements and three loops (D, anti-codon, and T loops). Lineage: Eukaryota; Fungi; Entomophthoromycota; Entomophthoromycetes; Entomophthorales; Entomophthoraceae. The record is from RNAcentral.